UGUCAAAAAUUCCCCAAUCCUGUUUCUGACGCCUCAUAUGAGAGCUGCAUGUGCAGGCUUACUGUUAUUUUGCGAGCCUGAGGCUU
Small nucleolar RNA from Cebus imitator (Panamanian white-faced capuchin), 86 nucleotides. NCBI's taxonomy places the organism in Eukaryota, Metazoa, Chordata, Mammalia, Primates, Cebidae. The record is from Ensembl.